Molecule: long non-coding RNA, 644 nt
Organism: Gallus gallus (chicken)
Lineage: Eukaryota; Metazoa; Chordata; Aves; Galliformes; Phasianidae
Exons: 3
Source: RefSeq, a predicted model, not a curated record
GCCCCUGCAGAGGGGCUCCCUUGCAGCUGGGAUGCCCCAAAGCCAGUUUUUCUCUCUGAAAGAAGAAACUCUGCCAAGUCCACAUGGCAGACAAGGUUUUCCCAGCUUUCCAGCUGAGCAUUUUAGACUCCUGGCACUGCUGCUGUACUCUGGUGCAUUACUCAGCUUUUGUGCUGCCAGACUGAAAUGUCAAUGCAAGUAACUGUCAGCCUCCCAGGAGGUGAAAUGGAGAGCACCAUUCCCCCCUCCCUAGGAUUUGGGAGAAAAUGGCCCCUGUGUCUGGAAAGAAACCUCAUACUGACCUCACCAAAGAAAUCUGGAUGUCUUCUUCCUGCUUUAAAGGAGCAAAUAAGGAUGAAUAUAGAUGAAGUGGCCAGCAAAACUUCAAGCCAAGUCAGUUACAACAUAUCUGCAACCACAAGCCAAUUAGACCUGCCUUGGGGGUUUAAUACAGUGUGCAAGACAAUGUCAGUAUCUGAAAGUCUGCAGUGCUUUAUAGCCCGUGCAAACAAACAAACAAACAAAAAAUUAACUGAAAACAAGGUAAAUAAUAAACAUGUUAUGUAAUAUAUUUUUGAACAUGUAAUAUUCAUGCUAUUUCUCCGGGGUACCUCAAAUCCAGGAUGAGACAAGACUGCAUUCAA